RNAcentral lists this ribosomal RNA (253 nucleotides) under uncultured bacterium. Its description in RNAcentral is "partial 16S ribosomal RNA". It matches the Rfam family "Bacterial small subunit ribosomal RNA", at positions 524 to 776 of the family's 1533-position model. The record is from RNAcentral.
UACGGAGGGUGCGAGCGUUGUCCGGAAUCAUUGGGCGUAAAGGGCGCGUAGGUGGCGCAGCAAGCGUGCGGUGAAAGCUCGGGGCUCAACCCCGAGUCGGCCGUGCGAACUGCUGGGCUCGAGCACUGUAGAGGCAGGCGGAAUUCCGGGUGUAGCGGUGGAAUGCGUAGAUAUCUGGAGGAACACCGGUGGCGAAGGCGGCAUCCUGGACCGGUAUUGACGCUGAGGCGCGAAAGCCAGGGGAGCAAACGGG